CGGAUGAUCGAGUGGUGUCCAGGUGUACGUCGCAUGGGACGCAGUCGCGCCCAGCACGGUGAAAAGAAACAGUGUGACCGCGGCUAUCGAGCGCAUGAGCUUCCGCUGUUAGAUGAUCUGUCAAAACAGGAUGUUAUGGCCUUAUUUGAGCCUAACACAAAUCGGCAGCUUUGCAAGGAAUUUGCGGGACGGGUUUUACACCCGUUCUCGUGACUGGCACUGCCGAGAUUGGACGAGAGCUACACACGUAGACGCGCUGGCCGGAAGCCAUGCGGACGCGGGUUCGAUUCCCGCCGCCUCCACCA
Molecule: transfer-messenger RNA, 305 nt
Filed under: Myxococcota bacterium
Lineage: Bacteria; Pseudomonadati; Myxococcota
Description: partial transfer-messenger RNA
Rfam family: transfer-messenger RNA
About the family: Bacterial tmRNA, also known as 10Sa RNA or SsrA, is named for its dual tRNA and mRNA-like properties. Its role is to liberate the mRNA from a stalled ribosome.
Source: RNAcentral